This 496-nucleotide ribosomal RNA is filed under the name uncultured bacterium. RNAcentral's name for it is "partial 16S ribosomal RNA". It matches the Rfam family "Bacterial small subunit ribosomal RNA", at positions 28 to 507 of the family's 1533-position model. The record is from RNAcentral.
GACGAACGCUGGCGGCGUGCCUAAUACAUGCAAGUUGAGCGCUGAAGGUUGGUACUUGUACCAACUGGAUGAGCAGCGAACGGGUGAGUAACGCGUGGGGAAUCUGCCUUUGAGCGGGGGACAACAUUUGGAAACGAAUGCUAAUACCGCAUAAAAACUUUAAACACAAGUUUUAAGUUUGAAAGAUGCAAUUGCAUCACUCAAAGAUGAUCCCGCGUUGUAUUAGCUAGUUGGUGAGGUAAAGGCUCACCAAGGCGAUGAUACAUAGCCGACCUGAGAGGGUGAUCGGCCACAUUGGGACUGAGACACGGCCCAAACUCCUCCGGGGGCAGCAGUAGGGAAUCUUCGGCAAUGGACGAAAGUCUGACCGAGCAACGCCGCGUGAGUGAAGAAGGUUUUCGGAUCGUAAAACUCUGUUGGUAGAGAAGAACGUUGGUGAGAGUGGAAAGCUCAUCAAGUGACGGUAACUACCCAGAAAGGGACGGCUAACUACGUG